AAUAUAUGGGAUAUAUUCCUGCCCAGUGACAAAAAGUUCAACGGCCGCGGUAUCCUAACCGUGCAAAGGUAGCAUAAUCACUUGCCUAUUAAUUGUAGGCUAGAAUGAACGGAUGAACGAAAUAAAGACUGUCUCAGUUAGUUACAUAAAAAUUAUUCUCUAUAUGAAGAAAUAUAGAUAAAUUCGAAGGACAAGAAGACCCUAUAGAGCUUUAUUUGUAUCAUAAAUUUAAACUAUGAAAAAAUUCGGUUGGGGCGACCAAGGGAAUUUACAUCACCCUAACAAUAACAGAUACAUAAAUCAAUCGAAUGACCCUUUAAAGAUCAUAAAAUCAAGCUACCUUAGGGAUAACAGGCUAAUCCUAUUCAAGAGUUCAUAUCCACAAUAGGGUUUGGCACCUCGAUGUUGGCUUAGGGUAUCUAUAUGGCGCAAAAGUUGUAUAAAGAUGGUUUGUUCAACCAAUAACUC
This 468-nucleotide ribosomal RNA is filed under the name Pontodrilus litoralis. Its description in RNAcentral is "partial 16S ribosomal RNA". It matches the Rfam family "Bacterial large subunit ribosomal RNA", at positions 1840 to 2594 of the family's 2925-position model. Lineage: Eukaryota; Metazoa; Annelida; Clitellata; Crassiclitellata; Megascolecidae. The record is from RNAcentral.